Molecule: long non-coding RNA, 221 nt
Filed under: Lathyrus oleraceus (garden pea)
Lineage: Eukaryota; Viridiplantae; Streptophyta; Magnoliopsida; Fabales; Fabaceae
Description: Pisum sativum (pea) long non-coding RNA (PSAT_LNC018948)
Source: RNAcentral
UAACGAGUGCAACACAAUGGAGGUGCGUGGAUCGGUUUAGGGUGGCAAAUAGCGAUCUAUUUGGGCCCAAGCUUCAACGGCCUGAAAUCGGGUCCAACACAACAAACCAAAGCAAGGUUCAAAUUCUUCAGGAGUGCCAUUGUAACACCCCAAUUUUGACCCUAAGAUCCCUCACGCUAUCUCAUCAUAUGCAUUAGCAUUGGGAUCACACAUUGGCAUCC